RNAcentral lists this ribosomal RNA (483 nucleotides) under uncultured bacterium. Its description in RNAcentral is "bacterial SSU rRNA". It matches the Rfam family "Bacterial small subunit ribosomal RNA", at positions 29 to 524 of the family's 1533-position model. The record is from RNAcentral.
AACGAACGCUGGCGGCAUGCCUAACACAUGCAAGUCGAACGGGAUCCUAGCUUGCUAGGUGAGAGUGGCGGACGGGUGAGUAACACGUGGGAAUCUGCCUUUUGGUUCGGGAUAACCGCGGGAAACUGCGGCUAAUACCGAAUGCCCUCGAGAGAGGAAAGAUUUAUCGCCAGAAGAGGAGCCCGCGUCCGAUUAGGUAGUUGGUGGGGUAAAGGCCUACCAAGCCGACGAUCGGUAGCUGGUCUGAGAGGAUGAUCAGCCACACUGGGACUGAGAUACGGCCCAGACUCCUACGGGAGGCAGCAGUGGGGAAUAUUGGACAAUGGGGGCAACCCUGAUCCAGCAAUGCCGCGUGAGUGAUGAAGGCCUUAGGGUUGUAAAGCCCUGUCGCAGGGGAAGAAUAAGCAUCGGUAUAAUACGCCGGUGCCCUGACGGUACCCUGCAAGAAGCACCGGCUAACUCCGUGCCAGCAGCCGCGGUAAU